Small nuclear RNA from Homo sapiens (human), 104 nucleotides. The record is from Ensembl. Lineage: Eukaryota; Metazoa; Chordata; Mammalia; Primates; Hominidae.
AUGCUUGCCUCAGUAGCACACAUACUUAAGUUGGAACAACAGAGAGAUUGGCACGGCCUCUGUGAAAGAAUGACAUGCAAAUUUGUGAAGCAUUCCAUAUUUUU